Molecule: long non-coding RNA, 868 nt
Organism: Oncorhynchus tshawytscha (Chinook salmon)
Lineage: Eukaryota; Metazoa; Chordata; Actinopteri; Salmoniformes; Salmonidae
Source: Ensembl
CACCUGUUAGCUCUAUUAUUGCUCAAUAAUUUUUUAUCGUUGUUAGCCCAUUCAAUUCGUGGGCAGUGUUGUUUUUUUGGACGCAUGAAUCACAAUGUGAGUCGUGUCCAAAGGGGGAAUUGCCAAUCCCCUGGGACCCUUUGGUUCUGGCGAUUGUGACUACAGAUGGUAUCUAGAUACAUGGAAAGGAUCAUUUGACCGAGAACAGUGGGAACCUCACCCCCUCUAACUGGCUGAACUAAUGGCGACAAUGGCAUUCACUAUGGUCCUUCACCAUUUUACGUGAGACCUGAGUCCGAGCCAGCAACUUGUACACAGCAUCCAGUCGAAGCUAUCAACUGCCUUUUCUCUCAGGAGUGUGACAUGAGUCCACGUGGAGUGAGCAUGGAGAGAGAUCCCGUCCAAACUUCUCUCAUGCUGCUGGUGUACAGUAAAGAUUCACGACAGGAACCGGCUUUCACAUAAGUCAAUCGAGGACUGCCUGCGCAUCAAAAUCACAACCCUCUCACUCGACAUCCACAAGAUCGUGUCCGAGGGGAAAUGCAACUUUUCCCAUUAAGAGCAGGUUAUCCCAAGACUCCUGAUACAGACAUUCAGACAUUGACUUCUUUUCUUUAAAUUAUUGUUUUAUGUAGGAUGUUACCUUGUUGGCCAGUUGCAAUUGUAAGUAGGCCAAAUGCAUUUUUUAAAAAUCCCAUUUCUAUUAGGCCAUUUUUCUUCUUGUGAAAGAUGCUGUUAAGCCUCAUAGCCUACCUCCGCUAGCUACGUUAUUUUAUAUGGGCCUUGGCUCUGAUUAAAUAAGCCUACAAUUAAGCCCUCUUGUUGUUUGUAAAGUCAAAUUAAAAUAAAGAUUAUCUGUUGAAAUGAA